Populus nigra (black poplar) is the source of this 742-nucleotide long non-coding RNA. RefSeq lists it as uncharacterized. NCBI's taxonomy places the organism in Eukaryota, Viridiplantae, Streptophyta, Magnoliopsida, Malpighiales, Salicaceae. The transcript has 3 exons. The record is from RefSeq and is a predicted model, not a curated record.
CAAGUCGGUUCCGUGGCAGGACUGGACUUACAGACUAAAAUUCAUUUGAAGUGUUGGGGAAGGCGCACAAACUCUCUGUGCUCCGACUUCCUUUGCUCCAUUAAUAAACUUUGUUCUCUUGUUUUUUUGGCGUUGAAUUUGCUCCUGUAAAUUGGUUAAGAAAGGCCAACAUUUAAGACCCAUUUUGUGGAAAUGAAGUUCUUAGAUUGGUACGUGAAAAUAUCAGCUGCUGGUGCUUUAAUUGGAGCUUCUAUGGAGUUGUUCAUGAUCAAGACUGGCUUCUAUGAUAAGGUUACUGUUCUAGAGUCAGAGAAGCGGGCUUGGGAAAGCUCCCCUGAAGCUCAGGCAAUCAGAGAAGCUCUAAACCCUUGGAGAAACCAUGACACAGAACAAAGAAAAAAUACCUAAUCUUCAUGAUCCAGUCUUGGAGGUUCUUCUUGUCCAAGGCUUGUUUUCUUGAAGAUUCAUCUUGGAGCCUUAUGUUUGCCAUUUAAAACAGUGCAAUUACUAAGUGAAGCUGAGAACAUCUAGAACGUAGAAAGGUCCAGGUUUAAACAACAGUUUUAGAACUAAUUUGGCUGCUAGAUUUUCGUCUUCUUAUGUUGGCCAGAUUUAUUUAUUUCUUGGCCAAUUCUUGUCUGUCCAUGGCCCUCAAAACAUAAUUGGCAAUCUUGAGAUUUCCUUGGUAUUUUUUCUUAAGUCACAACAUCAAAACUGGUUAUAGGAGAAAAACGUUCUGCAA